Tupaia belangeri (northern tree shrew) is the source of this 163-nucleotide small nuclear RNA. Its record names the gene U1. It matches the Rfam family "U1 spliceosomal RNA". Rfam says of the family: U1 is a small nuclear RNA (snRNA) component of the spliceosome (involved in pre-mRNA splicing). Its 5' end forms complementary base pairs with the 5' splice junction, thus defining the 5' donor site of an intron. The record is from Ensembl. NCBI's taxonomy places the organism in Eukaryota, Metazoa, Chordata, Mammalia, Scandentia, Tupaiidae.
ACACAGACUAGGCAGGGGGCUACCACGAUCACGAAGGUGGUUUUCCCAGGGUGAGGCUCAUCCAUUGCACUCCAGAUGUGCUGACGCCUGCAAUUUCCCCAAAUGUGGGAAACUCAACUGCAUAAUUUGUGGUGGUGAGGGACUGCAUUUGCGCUUUUCCCUG